UACGUAGGGUGCAAGCGUUAAUCGGAAUUACUGGGCGUAAAGCGUGCGCAGGCGGUUUUGUAAGACAGGCGUGAAAUCCCCGGGCUCAACCUGGGAAUUGCGCUUGUGACUGCAAAGCUGGAGUGCGGCAGAGGGGGAUGGAAUUCCGCGUGUAGCAGUGAAAUGCGUAGAUAUGCGGAGGAACACCGAUGGCGAAGGCAAUCCCCUGGGCCUGCACUGACGCUCAUGCACGAAAGCGUGGGGAGCAAACAGG
RNAcentral lists this ribosomal RNA (253 nucleotides) under bacterium. RNAcentral describes it as "partial 16S ribosomal RNA". It matches the Rfam family "Bacterial small subunit ribosomal RNA", at positions 524 to 776 of the family's 1533-position model. RNAcentral also lists the same sequence under 3 other names. The record is from RNAcentral.